RNAcentral lists this ribosomal RNA (537 nucleotides) under uncultured bacterium. Its description in RNAcentral is "bacterial SSU rRNA". It matches the Rfam family "Bacterial small subunit ribosomal RNA", at positions 556 to 1089 of the family's 1533-position model. The record is from RNAcentral.
GGGCGUAAAGCGUGCGCAGGCGGCUUUAUAAGACAGAUGUGAAAUCCCCGGGCUUAACCUGGGAACUGCGUUUGUGACUGUAAAGCUAGAGUGUGGCAGAGGGGGGUGGAAUUCCACGUGUAGCAGUGAAAUGCGUAGAGAUGUGGAGGAACACCGAUGGCGAAGGCAGCCCCCUGGGUUAACACUGACGCUCAUGCACGAAAGCGUGGGGAGCAAACAGGAUUAGAUAUCCUGGUAGUCCACGCCCUAAACGAUGCGAACUAGGUGUUGGAGAAGGAGACUUCUUUAGUACCGUAAAUAACGCGUGAAGUUCGCCGCCUGGGGAGUACGGUCGCAAGAUUAAAACUCAAAGGAAUUGACGGGGACCCGCACAAGCGGUGGAUGAUGUGGAUUAAUUCGAUGCAACGCGAAAAACCUUACCUACCCUUGACAUGCCAGGAACCCUGCAGAGAUGUGGGGGUGCUCGAAAGAGAGCCUGGGCACAGGUGCUGCAUGGCUGUCGUCAGCUCGUGUCGUGAGAUGUUGGGUUAAGUCCCG